GGCAGCAGCUAAGAAUAUUCCGCAAUGGUCGAAAGACUGACGGAGCGACGCCGCGUGAAUGAUGAAGGCCGUGAGGUUGUAAAGUUCUUUUCUGGAGGGAGAAUAGGUGUUGUAGGGAAUGACAACAUGAUGACGUGAAUCCAGGAAUAAGCCCCGGCUAACUACGUGCCAGCAGCCGCGGUAACACGUAGGGGGCAAGCGUUGUUCGGAAUUAUUGGGCGUAAAGGGUGCGCAGGCGGCUUGGCAAGUCUGCUGUUAAAUGGUUGAGCUCAACUCAAUCAUGCGGUGGAAACUAUCAAGCUAGAAUCAACGAAGGGAUGCCGGAAUUCCAGGUGUAGGGGUGAAAUCUGUAGAUAUCUGGAAGAACACCAAUGGCGAAGGCAGGCAUCUGGCGACUGAUUGACGCUGAGGCACGAAGGUGCGGGGAGCAAACAGGUUUAGAUAUCCUGGUAGUCCGCACAGUAAACGAUGUGCACUAGGUGGCGGGUAGCAGUACUCGGUACCGAAGCAAACGCAUUAAGUGCACCGCCUGGGGAGUAUGCUCGCAAGGGUGAAACUCAAAGGAAUUGACGG
This 573-nucleotide ribosomal RNA is filed under the name uncultured rumen bacterium. RNAcentral's name for it is "bacterial SSU rRNA". It matches the Rfam family "Bacterial small subunit ribosomal RNA", at positions 347 to 916 of the family's 1533-position model. The record is from RNAcentral.